CUCUACAUGUAACUAGGUGACUACGCCUUGCAGCUUCCCCUACGUUAUAGGCUUUUUAACUUCAUUAUGUGAUCAGGCAUGUUGCCAACUUUGAAGGCCAUUCCACACAUCUGAGUGAUCUGGCUUGCCGUCCAGGUGAUUUAAGUGCCAAUCUUGAUAAAGGUCCGCAUAAGGACCGAAACGUCGAUGAAAUACGGCAUCAACAGUGAACCCGAAUAAAAAUAUACUGAAUUUACAAGUGACUUCAGAGACUAAUUUCUGGGCGCGA
This is a long non-coding RNA of Pseudophryne corroboree (corroboree frog), 268 nucleotides long. RefSeq lists it as uncharacterized. The record is from RefSeq and is a predicted model, not a curated record. The transcript has 3 exons. Lineage: Eukaryota; Metazoa; Chordata; Amphibia; Anura; Myobatrachidae.